Molecule: ribosomal RNA, 295 nt
Filed under: uncultured bacterium
Lineage: Bacteria
Description: partial 16S ribosomal RNA
Rfam family: Bacterial small subunit ribosomal RNA
Source: RNAcentral
GGAUUAGAUACCCUGGUAGUCCACGCCGUAAACGAUGAGCACUAGAUAUGGGGGGAUUGACCCCUUCCGUGUCGCAGCUAACGCAUUAAGUGCUCCGCCUGGGGAGUACGGUCGCAAGACUAAAACUCAAAGGAAUUGACGGGGGCCCGCACAAGCGGUGGAUUAUGUGGUUUAAUUCGAAGCAACGCGCAGAACCUUACCUGGGCUUGAAAUCUUGCGAAAUUUUCAGAGAUGAUUAUGUGCCUUUCGAGGAACGCAAUGACAGGCGCUGCAUGGCUGUCGUCAGCUCGUGCCG